RNAcentral lists this ribosomal RNA (227 nucleotides) under uncultured Alicycliphilus sp. Its description in RNAcentral is "partial 16S ribosomal RNA". It matches the Rfam family "Bacterial small subunit ribosomal RNA", at positions 553 to 774 of the family's 1533-position model. Lineage: Bacteria; Pseudomonadati; Pseudomonadota; Betaproteobacteria; Burkholderiales; Comamonadaceae. The record is from RNAcentral.
AGAGAGCAUUGGGUGUAAAGCGUGCGCAGGCGGUUUGUAAGACAGAGGUGAAAUCCCGGGCUCAACCUGGGAACUGCCUUUGUGACUGCAAGGCUGGAGUGCGGCAGAGGGGGAUGGAAUUCCGCGUGUAGCAGUGAAAUGCGUAGAUAUGCGGAGGAACACCGAUGGCGAAGGCAAUCCCCUGGGCCUGCACUGACGCUCAUGCACGAAAGCGUGGGGAGCAAACA